Molecule: ribosomal RNA, 500 nt
Filed under: uncultured bacterium
Lineage: Bacteria
Description: bacterial SSU rRNA
Rfam family: Bacterial small subunit ribosomal RNA
Source: RNAcentral
AGAGUUUGAUCAUGGCUCAGGAUUAACGCUGGCGGUAUGCCUAACACAUGCAAGUCGAACGGAAUACUAAUUAAGAGAAAUCUCACACUAGUGAGAGGUUCUCACGAGUAGUAUUUAGUGCGGACGGGUGAGUAACACGUUGGAACCUGCCCCGAAGUGGGGAAUAACUGCUCGAAAGAGUAGCUAAUACCCCAUAGUAUCCGGUUUAUCCGGAUUAAAGAUUUAUCGCUUCGGGAGGGGCCUGCGUCUGAUUAGCUAGUUGGUGAGGUAAAAGCUCACCAAGGCGACGAUCAGUAGCUGGUUCGAGAGGAUGACCAGCCACACUGGGACUGAGAUACGGCCCAGACUCCUACGGGAGGCAGCAGUGAGGAAUCUUCCACAAUGGGCGCAAGCCUGAUGGAGCAAUACCGCGUGCAGGAAGACGCUUUUCGGAGUGUAAACUGCUUUUGUCGUCGAAGAUUAUGACUGUAGACGAAGAAUAAGGACCGGCUAACUACGUG